RNAcentral lists this transfer RNA (71 nucleotides) under Loxodonta africana (African savanna elephant). It matches the Rfam family "tRNA". Rfam says of the family: Transfer RNA (tRNA) molecules are approximately 80 nucleotides in length. Lineage: Eukaryota; Metazoa; Chordata; Mammalia; Proboscidea; Elephantidae. The record is from Rfam by way of RNAcentral.
GCAGUAGUGGUUCAGGGGUAGAAUUCUCACCUUCAAUGUGGGAGACCUAGGUUCAACUCCUGAGCAAUGCA